Molecule: ribosomal RNA, 372 nt
Filed under: uncultured organism
Description: partial 16S ribosomal RNA
Rfam family: Bacterial small subunit ribosomal RNA
Source: RNAcentral
GGAGGGUGCAAGCGUUAAUCGGAAUUACUGGGCGUAAAGCGCACGCAGGCGGUUUGUUAAGUCAGAUGUGAAAUCCCCGGGCUCAACCUGGGAACUGCAUCUGAUACUGGCAAGCUUGAGUCUCGUAGAGGGGGGUAGAAUUCCAGGUGUAGCGGUGAAAUGCGUAGAGAUCUGGAGGAAUACCGGUGGCGAAGGCGGCCCCCUGGACGAAGACUGACGCUCAGGUGCGAAAGCGUGGGGAGCAAACAGGGAUUAGAUACCCUGGUAGUCCACGCCGUAAACGAUGUCGACUUGGAGGUUGUGCCCCCUGAGGCGUGGCUUCCGGAGCUAACGCGUUAAGUCGACCGCCUGGGGAGUACGGCCGCAAGGUUA